CUGAUGCCUUGGCUUCCUAUGGGCUCUGCCUUGCCUGAAAGGCUCUCCUAGCUCUCCUUCCUGUGAUGGGGAAAUACCCCAGGGCGUCAGGAAAUUCCUGCCCCGGCAGGGAGCUGACUUCCCGGUCGGUAUCCCGGGGAGUCUGAGCCCAGCCCCCUGCAGCCAAUCAGCAGCGGAGGUGCCUCAAACUGACAAGCAAAACGAAGCCCAACAAAUGCAGCUGGAACUUGAACAAACAGAUUUGGGAGACCGUGGUGUUUGUUUGACGGCCGAAGUCCAGGGCUUGCUGGUUCACCUCUGUGAGCCUCAGCUGUGCCAUCAUAGGGAGGACGGUCGUCUUCCCUCAGCCAGGAAUGAGGAAUGGACACGCAAGCACCGAGUGAACGGGAAGGCACCACAAGAACGUGAAAUAUGGUUCACAUUGUGAAGUUCGAAGUGUGACACUUGAGUCUUCUGAUGGAUAGAGAAGUGAAGUUCUCUCCCCUCCUGGUGGAGACAGGUAACCCUGGGUCCAUCUUGUGACCUCCAUGGAAGCCAUCCUGAGGAUGAAGCCAACACAUGGAAGAAGGCAGAGAGCAGAGAAGUGGAACCAGACUCCCAGUUGCUCUUGAAACACAUAGCAUUGGAUUUUCCCCUUUGUGAACCAAUUCAUUCAUUCAAAAACA
Callorhinus ursinus (northern fur seal) is the source of this 665-nucleotide long non-coding RNA. RefSeq lists it as uncharacterized. NCBI's taxonomy places the organism in Eukaryota, Metazoa, Chordata, Mammalia, Carnivora, Otariidae. The record is from RefSeq and is a predicted model, not a curated record.